This 460-nucleotide ribosomal RNA is filed under the name Prevotella nigrescens. RNAcentral's name for it is "bacterial SSU rRNA". It matches the Rfam family "Bacterial small subunit ribosomal RNA", at positions 28 to 475 of the family's 1533-position model. The record is from RNAcentral. Lineage: Bacteria; Pseudomonadati; Bacteroidota; Bacteroidia; Bacteroidales; Prevotellaceae.
GAUGAACGCUGGCUACAGGCUUAACACAUGCAAGUCGUGGGGAAACGGCAUUAUGUGCUUGCACAUUCUGGACGUCGACCGGCGCACGGGUGAGUAUCGCGUAUCCAACCUGCCCCUUACUUGGGGAUACCCCGUUGAAAGACGGCCUAAUACCCGAUGUGUUUCAUUGACGGCAUCCGAUAUGAAACAAAGGUUUUCCGGUAAGGGAUGGGGAUGCGUCUGAUUAGCUUGUUGGCGGGGCAACGGCCCACCAAGGCGACGAUCAGUAGGGGUUCUGAGAGGAAGGUCCCCCACAUUGGAACUGAGACACGGUCCAAACUCCUACGGGAGGCAGCAGUGAGGAAUAUUGGUCAAUGGACGCAAGUCUGAACCAGCCAAGUAGCGUGCAGGAUGACGGCCCUAUGGGUUGUAAACUGCUUUUAUGUGGGAAUAAAUUGGCGCACGUGUGCGCCAUUGCAUG